RNAcentral lists this long non-coding RNA (1332 nucleotides) under Terrapene triunguis (Three-toed box turtle). RNAcentral's name for it is "Terrapene carolina triunguis (Three-toed box turtle) lncRNA (ENSTMTG00000002412.1)". Lineage: Eukaryota; Metazoa; Chordata; Testudines; Emydidae. The record is from RNAcentral.
GGUCAUCUAGUCCAACCCCCUGCUCAAAGCAGGACCAACCCCAACUGAAUCCUCCCAACCAGGGCUUUGUCAAGCCGGGCCUUAAAAACCUCUAAGGAAGGAGAUGCCACCACCUCCCUAGGUAACCCAUUCCAGUGCUUCAGCACCCUCCCUAGUGAAAUAGUUUUUCCUAAUAUCCAACCUAGACCUCCCCCACUGCAAGUUGAGACCCUUGCUCCUUGUUCUGUCAUCUGCCACCAUUGAGAACAGCCUAGCUCCAUCCUCUUUGAACCCCCCUUCAGGUAGUUGAAGGCGGCUAUCAAAUCCACACUCACUCUUCUCUUUUGCAGAUUAAAUAAGCCCAGUUCCCUCAACCUUUCCUCAUAAGUCAUGUGCCCCAGCCCCCUAAUAAUUUUUGCUGCCCUCCGCCGGACUCUCUCCAAUUUGUCCACGAAUUUUACUCUGUAGCAUGAGCCCAGGUCAGUUGAUUUGGCCUCUGAGACACACGGCUGUGGAUCAUUUUUUUGCACUGUAGACAUGCUCUCUGUUUUGUAAUUCCUCAUACAUCUCCUGUGAAGUUGUGAUUCCUUACAAUUCAUUUCUUUAUUUGAGGAAAACUCAGGUUGGGGCAAUGAUUUACAUUCUUAUUAUUAGAAUAACAAUUAACUCAAUUGAAAAACGAAUCACACUCAUUUCUACCACUUCUUCCCAUAUUCUAGUCUUGCUUCUUCCUGGUAUGUGACCAACACCAAGAGUUGGAUGAAAGAGAACCAUCAGAGGCUCAGUGAAGGCAAGAUUAAUGGAAUGCUGAAUGGCUUUGGUCUCAAGAAAACAGCUGCUCACCAACUCUUAAUAUUUUCAAAAAGAGUAGAACACUAAGGUAUUGUGAGAACAUCUAGCAGAAAGAGAACUGCAUACAGGAAGGAAAAAAGAAGAGAACAGAUUUUUAAACUUGUGAUCAAUUUCUGCCAGAGAAAGGUAAAAACACUUACACCUGAUUAAUACUUUGCUAUAGUUUACUGGACUAAAAUUGGGGCUCUGGCUACAAGAUGCAUUUAGAAAUAAAACAAACAGAACCUCCUCUCACCCCACAGAACUAGCAGAAGAUUUGAGACAGUUUGUUUGCUUGACAGGCAAAUGUUAUUAGCUAAAAACUCUUUAGCUAAAUCUGCUUCUAUGGCCCCAAAUGUUUAAAAGGUAUCAUGGAUUAAAGCCAUGAAAAUAAAUUAAAAAGAAUUUCAAUUUGAAAUUUUAUUAGCAUGUUGCUAGAAUGGCCAACAUCGAUCAACAGGAGAGACUUUUUGUCCACAUACUUUGUAAAUCUCUUCCACACAUACCGCUCUUUGCUUCCCC